CAUACAGCACUUCCGUCCGCUUUCAACUGUUCGGCGAGCUCCGGUCUCGCGGGCUUCAGGUAUGGGGUCCGCCGGCCUGGCUCGGCUGCAGGGGCUUUUCGCAGUCUACAAGCCCCCCGGGCUAAAAUGGAAGCAUCUACGGGAUACCGUGGAGCUGCAGCUUCUGAAAGGUCUCAAUGCUGGGAAGCCUCCUGCCCCUAAACAGCGUGUUCGCUUCCUGUUGGGACCCGUGGAAGGCAGCGAAGAGAAGGAGCUGACCCUCACAGCCACCCGUGUGCCCACACUCAUCGACCAUCCUCUGGUUCGUGGACUCGCAUUCACCAGCCUGAAGGUUGGCGUGGGACACCGGCUGGAUUCCCAGGCGUCUGGGGUGCUUGUGCUCGGCGUGGGACACGGACGCGGGCUCCUCACUGACAUGUACAACGCUCACCUCACCAAGGAUUACACCGUGCGCGGCCUCCUGGGCAAAGCCACAGACGACUUCUGUGAGGACGGGCGGCUGGUGGAGAAGACGACGUACGGUGUGUGUCAACUACCAACAAAAUGUUCUGAAGACAGCUACCAGGCUGACGCUUUUGGGAGAGCGGAAGCUGGAAUUUGGAGGAGGGGAGGUGUUUGUUGGUGGCACCCUCCCUCCAGGGAUGCCUGGCAUGAAAAACCUUGGACUGGGGCUCAAGGGGCCUGGCUUAGAAGAGCAGACCACGUGACCAGAGAGAAGUUGGACCGCAUCCUGGCUGUGAUCCAAGGUUCCCAUCAGAAGGCUCUGGUGACGUACUCCAACCUUGACCUACAGACCCAGGAGGCCUACGAGAUGGCCGUUAGUGGCGUGAUCCGGCCCAUGAACAAGUCCCCGAUGCUGAUCACUGGCAUCCGAUGCCUCCAGUUUGCACCUCCGGAAUUCCUCUUAGAGGUGCAGUGCAUGCAUGAGACACAGAAGCAGCUGCGAAGGCUGGUGCAUGAAAUCGGCCUGGAGCUGAAGACCACCGCUGUGUGUACCCAGGUGCGGCGGACACGGGACGGCUUCUUCACCCUGGAUGAUGCCCUCCUGAGGACCCAGUGGGACCUACCGAACAUCCAGGAUGCCAUCCAGGCUGCAGCACCCCGGGUGGCGGCAGAGCUGGAGAAGAGCUUGAGGCCUUGGCUGGGCACCCAGGAGCCCCCUGGUCCAGGCCAGCCCUGGGACUCCAAGAGGCCACGCUCUGCCUUGGGGCCAGAGAGCCACGUGGGGCAUUGACAGGCCAGCAGCUGGCGGAACAGUGGAUGUCUAAAAAUAAGAGCUGGUGGAACAGUGGGUGUCUAAAAAUAAGAAUUGUUCGUGGCUGGAACUGCUAACUGCAGAACACGAGAGCAGGAGGGGCUUUUUUGCACAUGACAGAAAGCCUGAAGCUGUAAGAGAAACCAUUAACAGGGAGUUCCCUAGUCAGGGAACUAAGAUCCUGCAAGCUGUGUAGUGUUGCCAAAGGAAAAAAAAAGAUCAACAGACUUGGCCCAGUUAAAAACUCUGUACAGAGGAAAAGAUGCUAAAUGAAUGACGGAUAAAAAAUAGUUGUUAUAAGUUUAAGCAAUAAUAUUUAUAAUAUAUAAAGAGUUCUUACAAAACAAUAAGAAAAGCAUGACAAGAAAGUUGAUCAAAUGACGUGAAUUGUGUGUUUGUAUUGUAAAAGCAAUCCAGAUGGCUAGUAAACCUCAAAUGAUGUUCAGACUCUAAUGAUGAAAGACAUUCAGAUGAAAAUGAGAUGACUUUUCCUUGCCUUUCAAAUAAAUUAAGAAAAAGAUAACAUCCAUUAUUGGGGAGGAUGUGAGAAGAUGGGCGAUUUAUACACUUGGUGCCAAGUUGCUUCAGUCAUAUCCGACUCUUUGUGACCCACAGACUGUAGCCCGCCGGGCUAGCUCUGUCCAUGGGAUUUUCCAGGCAAGAAAAUGAGUGGGUUGCCAUUUCCUUCUCCAGGGGAUCUUCCCAAGCCAGAAACUAGCGUCUCCUGUGUUGGCAGGCAGAUUCUUUACCACCAGAGCCAUCUGGGAAUACGCUUGCUAGGAAUACACAACUGUGUAACCUUUCAGGAGUAAUUCGAUGAUGAGGAAACUGAGGCAUGAAGGGGACAAAUAACAAGCCAAAGGACACCUGACAAGGGAGGCCCGAGCCCGAGACCACAUCUGUGCUGUUCGGAGUCAGCGUUACUGACCGCCACACCAUCCUGCCUCUUCUCGAGCUAUUGCUGCUUUUGUGGGGUUGUUUACUAACCAAGUCCCAGGCCUGGCACAUGGUAGGCACUUAGGCACUUUUUGUUUAAGGACCUGAGUGCCUGGGCUUCCCUGGUGGCUCAGUGGUAAAGACUCUGCCUGCCAAUGCAGGUGUCAUGGGUUCGAUCCCUGGCCUGGGAGGAUCCCAUAUGCUUCAGAGCAACUAAGCCCAUGUGCCACAAUUACUGAGCCCACACGCUGCAGCUACUGAAGCCCGGGUGCCCUAGGGCCUGUCCUCUACAGUAAGAGAAGCCACCUCAACAAGAAGCCUGGAUUCACCACAACUAGAGACUAGCAGCCCCUCGCCGUAACUAGAGAAAAAUCUGUGCGACCACGAAGACCCAGCAUAGCCAAAGGGAAAAAAACGAACUGAGUAUGUAUUGUGAUACUGUGAUGUAAAAAGAAGUAUAUUUUUGGGUCUUCCUCCCUAGCUUCCAGCCAGAGCUCCUAAAACCCUUGUAAUUUCCUAAGCGAUAAAGGUGAAAAGAACA
Bubalus bubalis (water buffalo) is the source of this 2732-nucleotide RNA transcript. It is a transcript of the gene named TruB pseudouridine synthase family member 2, with no coding region annotated. The transcript has 11 exons. Lineage: Eukaryota; Metazoa; Chordata; Mammalia; Artiodactyla; Bovidae. The record is from RefSeq and is a predicted model, not a curated record.